This 1116-nucleotide ribosomal RNA is filed under the name Triticum aestivum (bread wheat). RNAcentral describes it as "partial small subunit ribosomal RNA". The record is from RNAcentral. Lineage: Eukaryota; Viridiplantae; Streptophyta; Magnoliopsida; Poales; Poaceae.
AUGGGCGGCGGCCGACCGUGCCACGGGAGCCCAGUGCCUGAUUGCAUGGAGCCAGGUCUGCAGGGCGAAGUGCGAGGGGGGGCUGGGGUACGGGACCUUACCACCCAGAACAUGUGCCUGCUGCUCAAGAUGCUGCAUCGUCUACACUCGUCGGAGUCGAGGUGGGCGUCGUGGGUUUGGGCGGAGCUGAAUGGCCAAUCCCUUCUUCACCCCGGUAGCUGUCGUCAUGCCGGGGCGCAUGGGCGCUCUCUGCGCGGCAUGCUGCCGCUCUACCGCGCCAUGUCGCGAGUGCAUGUGCAGGAUGGGCGGCGAACCUCCUUCUGGCUCGACUGGUGGCUGUCGUGCGGUCCUCUGAGUGUGGCCUUCCCCGCUCUAUACUCGCACACCACGAGCGCCGAGGCCACUGUGUUCUACGUCUGGAACGGUGGGCUCGACCGCAUCUUGGUCCCAAGACACACCCGGGCGGGUGCUCGGGAGCGAGAAGCCCUCCUUACCAUUCUCCCUGAUGCACCUGUGGCGCCGGGCGUAGACGAGAGGAUGCUGCCGCUUUGUGGGCGCCCCCGGUCGGGAGGGCUUGUCGCACGCCACGCUUACGCCCUCCUGCGCUAUGGCGGGCGGCUCUCGCCUCAUGCUGCGUUCGUCUGGGGGACGCGCGCGCCGUCGCGGGUGAAGUUCUUCUGCUGGCUGUUGGUCCAUCGUCGAGUCAACACUCGGGAUGCCCUUCUUCGGAAGACCAUUGUUGAUCGCGCGGGGGCCGGCUGCCCCGUCUGCUUGGCGGAGCUGGAAACCGCGGACCAUCUGAUGUUUGUCUGCCCGUUCGCGCGCGAGUUCUGGCGCGUCGUGGGGGGUGUGGUGAUCACGGCCGGGGCGUCGGUAGAGCGACUCUUCGCCCUAGACGUAAGAGUUGCCGUAGGAGAUGCCUCUCCCGACACCUUCAUCCUCCUAUGCUGCUGGCACCUAUGGAAGCACCGGAACGGGGUGGUCUUCCAGGCUAUGGUGCCAUCUCUGGAUCGGGUCCUAAGCUGCUGUCGAGAGGAUGCUGUUCUCUGGCGAGAACGGCUAUGUCCACGGGAUCGUGCGGAUGUUGAUGCGUGGGUGCGUGCGUUGACGCGGUGA